Molecule: ribosomal RNA, 325 nt
Filed under: uncultured bacterium
Lineage: Bacteria
Description: bacterial SSU rRNA
Rfam family: Bacterial small subunit ribosomal RNA
Source: RNAcentral
GAGUUUGAUCCUGGCUCAGGACGAACGCUGGCGGCGGGCUUAACACAUGCAAGUCGAACGAGAAUCCCGAGCUUGCUUGGGAGGAAAGUGGCGCACGGGUGAGUAACGCGUAGGCAAUCUGCCCCCAACUGAGGGAUAACCCAUCGAAAGGUGGGCUAAUACCGCAUAACAACGGAUGACCGCAUGGUUGACCGUUCAAAGUUCAGGCGGUUGGGGAUGAGCCUGCGUCGGAUUAGCUAGUUGGAGGGGUAACGGCCCACCAAGGCGACUAUCCGUAGCGGUGGCCUGAGAGGUUGAUCCUCCCACAUUGGCCCUGUUUCUCGUC